This 30-nucleotide small RNA is filed under the name Bombyx mori (domestic silkworm). RNAcentral describes it as "ovarian small RNA-18195". Lineage: Eukaryota; Metazoa; Arthropoda; Insecta; Lepidoptera; Bombycidae. The record is from RNAcentral.
UAAACGGAUUUGACCCCGCUUUUAGGGUGA